Molecule: long non-coding RNA, 658 nt
Filed under: Ananas comosus (pineapple)
Lineage: Eukaryota; Viridiplantae; Streptophyta; Magnoliopsida; Poales; Bromeliaceae
Description: long non-coding RNA (ACOM_LNC013955)
Source: RNAcentral
AUAUUUACACUAAUUUCAUGCAAAAUGCCGCCGCAGUUAUCUCUUAUUAAGUUAACUCGGGUUAAACGUGAGUUAAAUAUCCACCACAGUUAAAAAAAAAUUAAAAUACCAAUUUUCUCCUUAACUUAAGGACAAACAAAAAAUGUUGGUGACGGUAGAGGAAUAUAUUGGAAAAGACCAAAAGUUAAAAUACUUUUUGUGCUCCUAACUUUAAGAGCAAAUAAGAAAGUCAGUAAUGGUGGAAGGGUAUAUUUGAAAAGACAAAAUAGUAAUUUUACAGAAAUAACAGAGUUAAAUAACAGAUUUUAACUUUAGAGAUAUAUUAGAAAUAGGUUGGAAAAUAGAAAGAAUAUUUUCAAUAUUAGCCUUCUAAAAGGAGUAAAUCGAAAAAUCGGAAACUUUUUAGGAGUAUAUAAACAAUUGCCCUAAGUUAAAGUAUCGUACAUCGACUCGAGUGGAACAAAUUUAGAAAAUUAGAUAAUAAAAUUAAAAUUAUAAAAAGUUUAGAUUCGUCUGUAACGAUUCCACCAGCUAGUAAUAAUAAUUCAAUGAAUCUAAAAUAUUUAAAUUUAAUUAUUAUUAUUAUUAGAACGAAUAUCUCUUAUAUUUCAAAUGAGAAUUCUUUUUUCAUCCAAUAUGAAAAUACGAAACUGUUGGG